GGCUUAUUGAAAAUAAUUUUAGGUUUGGCCUGCCCAAUGAAAAAUUAAAUGGCUGCAGUAUUUUAACUGUACAAAGGUAGCAUAAUCAUUUGUUUUUUAAUUGAAAGCUUGAAUGAAGGGUUUGAUGAAAAAGUUUCUGUCUCUUUGGAAAUUAAAUAGAAUUUUAUUUUUAAGUGAAAAAGCUUAAAUUUGAAUAGAAGACGAGAAGACCCUAUAGAGUUUUAUAUUUGUUUAAGAAAUUUGAUGUUAGGAAUUUUACGUUUUCUUGUUUAAGCAAGUAUUUUGUUGGGGUGAUGAAAAAAUUAAAUUAACUUUUUUAAUAAAGUCCAUUAAUUUGUGAAUAAGGGAUCCUAAUUUUUAGAUUACAAAAUUAAAUUACCUUAGGGAUAACAGCGUAAUUUUUUCUAGAGUUCUUAUCGAAGAGAAAGAUUGCGACCUCGAUGUUGGAUUAAAAUUAAUUAUUGGUGAAGGUGCUAAUACAUUAGGUCUGUUCGACCUUUAAAAUUUUACAUGAUCUGAGUUUAAACCGGUGUGAG
Molecule: ribosomal RNA, 536 nt
Filed under: Trigonopterus sp. 795 AR-2022a
Lineage: Eukaryota; Metazoa; Arthropoda; Insecta; Coleoptera; Curculionidae
Description: partial large subunit ribosomal RNA
Rfam family: Bacterial large subunit ribosomal RNA
Source: RNAcentral